GGGGGGGGACAGCACCCUAUACAUCAUGGUUUAUAUUCAAAUUCCAAAGAACCGAUAUGGGACAAUUCAUUACAUGUGAGGAGGGGGGAGGGGGAGAAAUAAUAGAGAGGAGGGAGGGGGGAAGAAAACGUCUUGGAGAAAACCAAUGGAAGAACACGACGGCGACGGCGGCGUCAUAAAUACAUAUUUUCUUCACAGGGACCCGGACGAGCAGGAAAGACCCAAAAUACACAGAGAGGAGAGAGAAAGAAUGGCAAAUCGAGGGACACGGGGAUACUUGUACAGGCCUUGGGGCGAUCAUGCCGCUCCCUCGGUCGGCUUCGCCGGCUCUGGGGCCGCCGGCGGAGCGGCGGCGGUCUUCUCCUCGACGACCGGAGGAGCCUCAGGAGGCGCAGGGGUCUCGGUUUCUACCUUCUUCUCCUCUUCCGUAGACACCACCACCUCCUUAUCCUUGCUGGUGCCCUCCUCCGCCGGCGCUGCGGGCGCUUCUUCUGUGGUGGCGGCGACCUCUGGCUCCGCCGCCUUGGGCUCCUCCGCCGGGAGGAAGACGGCAGCCUUCUCGAACACGAAGAAGACGGGGCCGGUGACGAGGGCAGGCCCGAACUUGGUGGAAGCCUCACUGACAGCCUUGGCCCCGGGGAACUCUGCAGAUUACAACGUCCACCACCGGAAAACGUUAACAGGACGUUAACAGGAGACCCCUUCCAACCCAUCGCAAUUUCGAUUCUUACCUAUUUUAACCAGCUCCUCCAGGAACUUGUUGACGCCUGCCGCGUGCUUCUUCACCCCGGCCUCCGUAGGCUCCUUCACCAGAGUCUGCGGGGAGACGAAGGGAAACAUAUCUCAAUACUCAGGCAUACUACCACAGCUUUCGUUAAUUAAUCCGCCCAUGCUCCUGUUCCUCCAGAGAUUGAUCCAGAGUAGGUAGUAGAGACGCGUCUGUGGAAGAAAGAGGGAGAGAGGGAGAGCGAGAGAGAGAAGCGGCGAACCUUGAUCUCGGUCGAGGUGGUUCCAUAGAUCUCGAUCACCUUGGGCUCCAGCUCCGUCUUCUUCUCG
Molecule: long non-coding RNA, 1056 nt
Filed under: Spirodela polyrhiza (greater duckweed)
Lineage: Eukaryota; Viridiplantae; Streptophyta; Magnoliopsida; Alismatales; Araceae
Description: long non-coding RNA (SPOL_LNC001685)
Source: RNAcentral